Long non-coding RNA from Panthera uncia (snow leopard), 691 nucleotides. RefSeq lists it as uncharacterized. Lineage: Eukaryota; Metazoa; Chordata; Mammalia; Carnivora; Felidae. The transcript has 4 exons. The record is from RefSeq and is a predicted model, not a curated record.
GAAAGAUCAGUUCCAUGAUGCCUGGGAUGGACUGAGUCUUGGAUUAAAGGCUGAGACAACCUUGGUCCUGGAGAUGGCAAUUUAUGGAGGCCUUUGAGUGAUUGCUGUAUUGCUGCUAAAGAGGGCCCAAAACUUGGGUGAGACUCUCACUGACAUUUUGUUUAGCAGUAAUAAAGAUAUUGUUUAAAGCCAAAUCAAUAUCCUCUUCAAUGUGAUCUUCAAGCAUGAAAUAGGACACCGGCUUUCACUUAUUUUACACAAGUAGUACCGGUUUUCUAGGACUUGCUUACCUGGUGACCAAAACCAUGUACUGACAAUAUGACAGGCAGACACUAUGGAAAAUACUAUAUCCAAAAAGAAAAAUGUAUUUUGCUAAAAGGAACUCCCAAGGCAACUUUACCAUAAGGGUUGACCUCAGAUAUUCAGUGAACAUUAAGGUUGCAGCAAUGCCCAAGCCCUUGCACAUUCACACAAAGUUACUCUUUGGCUGUAAAGGAUCCUUUUAAAAGAGAGAAAGUGAAUAUAAUGGAGGAGAAAGGGACUGGGGAGGAAGAAAAAGCCGCUUUUGUGCCAUAUGAAUUAUUUAUUCAGUCAAGCAAUGAACUCACUAUUUCCAACUCUAACAAUCUAUCAGGGAACUCUAAAUAAGUGAACUCAAAGAGUAAUAAAGUUUAAAAACUAUCACUACUUA